GUGGGGAAUAUUGGACAAUGGGCGCAAGCCUGAUCCAGCCAUGCCGCGUGUGUGAAGAAGGCCUUCGGGUUGUAAAGCACUUUUGUUCGGGAAGAAAAGCUACCGGUUAAUACCCGGGAGUCAUGACGGUACCGAAAGAAUAAGCACCGGCUAACUUCGUGCCAGCAGCCGCGGUAAUACGAAGGGUGCAAGCGUUACUCGGAAUUACUGGGCGUAAAGCGUGCGUAGGUGGUGCGUUAAGUCUGUCGUGAAAGCCCCGGGCUCAACCUGGGAAUGGCGAUGGAUACUGGCGCGCUAGAGUGCGGUAGAGGAGAGUGGAAUUCCCGGUGUAGCAGUGAAAUGCGUAGAGAUCGGGAGGAACAUCAGUUGCGAAGGCGGCUCUCUGGACCAACACUGACACUGAGGCACGAAAGCGUGGGGAGCAAACAGGAUUAGAUACCCGGGUAGUCC
RNAcentral lists this ribosomal RNA (450 nucleotides) under uncultured bacterium. Its description in RNAcentral is "bacterial SSU rRNA". It matches the Rfam family "Bacterial small subunit ribosomal RNA", at positions 354 to 796 of the family's 1533-position model. The record is from RNAcentral.